AAAUCCGUCGACUUUAAAAAUCGUG
Molecule: transfer RNA, 25 nt
Filed under: Vitis cinerea var. floridana
Lineage: Eukaryota; Viridiplantae; Streptophyta; Magnoliopsida; Vitales; Vitaceae
Description: partial tRNA-Leu
Source: RNAcentral